GGAAUUUUGCGCAAUGGGGGUAACCCUGACGCAGCAACGCCGCGUGAGUGAGGAAGGACUUCGGUCUGUAAAGCUCUGUUAAUGUGGAAAAAUGGUAGCUGGUCUAAUAGGCCGGCUAUUUGAUGGUACACAUAGAGGAAGCACCGGCUAACUUCGUUCCAGCCGCCGCGGUAAUACGAAGGGUGCAAGCGUUGUUCGGAUUUAUUGGGCGUAAAGCGCGCGUAGGCGGACCUGCAAGUCAGAUGUGAAAUCUCGGGGCUCAACCUCGAAACUGCGUCUGAAACUACAGGUCUAGAAUCUCGGAGGGGGGAAGGGGAAUUUCGCAUGUAGGGGUAAAAUCCGUAGAUAUGCGAAGGAACACCAGAGGCGAAGGCGCCUUCCUGGACGAGUAUUGACGCUGAGGCGCGAAAGCGUGGGGAUCAAAC
RNAcentral lists this ribosomal RNA (425 nucleotides) under uncultured bacterium. RNAcentral's name for it is "bacterial SSU rRNA". It matches the Rfam family "Bacterial small subunit ribosomal RNA", at positions 358 to 773 of the family's 1533-position model. The record is from RNAcentral.